Molecule: unclassified non-coding RNA, 350 nt
Filed under: soil metagenome
Description: partial contains 5.8S ribosomal RNA, internal transcribed spacer 2, and large subunit ribosomal RNA
Rfam family: 5.8S ribosomal RNA (bases 1-120)
Source: RNAcentral
GAUGAAGAACGUAGCGAAAUGCGAUAAGUAGUGUGAAUUGCAGAAUUCAGUGAAUCAUCGAAUCUUUGAACGCACAUUGCGCCCGCCGGCACUCCGGCGGGCAUGCCUGUCCGAGCGUCAUUUCAACCCUCAGGACCCCCUUUCGGGGGGGAUCUGGUGCUGGGGAUCAGCGGCCUCCGGGCCCCUGUCCCCCAAAUUGAGUGGCGGUCGCGCCGCAGCCUCCCCUGCGUAGUAGCACACCUCGCACCGGAGAGCGGCUCGGCCACGCCGUGAAACCCCCAAUUUUUUAAGGUUGACCUCGGAUCAGGUAGGAAUACCCGCUGAACUUAAGCAUAUCAAUAAGCGGAGGA